GGGGGUGUAGCUCAGUCGGUAAAGUGCUUGCCUUGCAUGCACAAGGCCCUGAGUUCAAUCCCAGCACCACAA
RNAcentral lists this transfer RNA (72 nucleotides) under Ictidomys tridecemlineatus (thirteen-lined ground squirrel). RNAcentral describes it as "Spermophilus tridecemlineatus (thirteen-lined ground squirrel) tRNA". It matches the Rfam family "tRNA". From Rfam's summary of the family: Transfer RNA (tRNA) molecules are approximately 80 nucleotides in length. The record is from Rfam by way of RNAcentral. Lineage: Eukaryota; Metazoa; Chordata; Mammalia; Rodentia; Sciuridae.